GUGGGGAAUAUUGGGCAAUGGGCGAAAGCCUGACCCAGCAACGCUGCGUGAAGGAAGAAGGUCUUCGGAUCGUAAACUUCUAUCCUUGGUGAAGAUAAUGACGGUAGCCGAGAAGGAAGCCCCGGCUAACUACGUGCCAGCAGCCGCGGUAAUACGUAGGGGGCAAGCGUUGUCCGGAAUGAUUGGGCGUAAAGGGCGCGUAGGCGGCCUGGUAAGUCUGGAGUGAAAGUCCUGCUUUUAAGGUGGGAAUUGCUUUGGAUACUGUCGGGCUUGAGUGCAGGAGAGGUAAGUGGAAUUCCCGGUGUAGCGGUGAAAUGCGUAGAGAUCGGGAGGAACACCAGUGGCGAAGGCGACUUACUGGACUGUAACUGACGCUGAGGCGCGAAAGUGUGGGGAGCAAACGGGAUUAGAUACCCGUGUAGUCC
This 425-nucleotide ribosomal RNA is filed under the name uncultured bacterium. Its description in RNAcentral is "partial 16S ribosomal RNA". It matches the Rfam family "Bacterial small subunit ribosomal RNA", at positions 354 to 796 of the family's 1533-position model. The record is from RNAcentral.